Molecule: ribosomal RNA, 496 nt
Filed under: uncultured bacterium
Lineage: Bacteria
Description: partial 16S ribosomal RNA
Rfam family: Bacterial small subunit ribosomal RNA
Source: RNAcentral
AUGAACGCUGGCGGCGUGCCUAAUACAUGCACGUCGCGCGCACGGACGAGAAGCUUGCUUCUCUGAUGUUAGCGGCGGACGGGUGAGUAACACGUGGAUAACCUACCUAUAAGACUGGGAUAACUUCGGGAAACCGGAGCUAAUACCGGAUGAUAUUUUGAACCGCAUGGUUCAAAAGUGAAAGACGGUCUUGCUGUCACUUAUAGAUGGAUCCGCGCUGCAUUAGCUAGUUGGUAAGGUAACGGCUUACCAAGGCAACGAUGCAUAGCCGACCUGAGAGGGUGAUCGGCCACACUGGAACUGAGACACGGUCCAGACUCCUACGGGAGGCAGCAGUAGGGAAUCUUCCGCAAUGGGCGAAAGCCUGACGGAGCAACGCCGCGUGAGUGAUGAAGGUCUUCGGAUCGUAAAACUCUGUUAUUAGGGAAGAACAUAUGUGUAAGUAACUGUGCACAUCUUGACGGUACCUAAUCAGAAAGCCACGGCUAACUACGUG